Chrysemys picta bellii (western painted turtle) is the source of this 5777-nucleotide non-coding RNA. Lineage: Eukaryota; Metazoa; Chordata; Testudines; Emydidae. The record is from RefSeq and is a predicted model, not a curated record.
UCUCACUCUUUUUUUGGUGCCUUAUUUUAUUUUCAUGUGUCGUCAUUUUUUAUUUGUAUUAUGGUCAGGGGCCUCAAAAGCUGGAAGUGGCCCAGGCCUCUCUGGACCUCUGAGAUGGCCAGGCAGCAGAUAUUUAAGAAAGUGGUCUUGUAUACAGUGUUACUGGGCCUUUGUUUUUAUAUUGAGAGACGUAUUAAGACAGGGAAUCCUUACUACAUAUCAUAUUUAAAAGUAAUAGAAUACACUUGCCAGGAAAAAUAAUAGUCAAACGCAAACUAUUUGCAGGAUUUCCUUUUCCUUUUCUUUUUGUCUUGGCAAAACGGUGUCUAAAACCUAAGAUUUUCUUCGUACAAAAAACCCAGCACACCUGUCAAAUUCUUUUGAAUAUUAACAUUUGAAGGAACAUGCCUGGUUUGAUAAAUUCGUGCAAUCAGAAUAAUAAAAUCAACAGAAACAACUCGUCCUGGAUAAUGUCAAGAGGCUCACUCGGUAAUAUGGUAACACCCUGAUACAUAGAAAGAUCCGAUGGUUAAAUUAUUGUAUAAUGUUUCUCUCAACAAAAGCUCACUGCUGUAAUGAUCAUUGUUUUGUUUCUGAUAUUUAUAUGGCAAGGAUUUGAAAAGUUGUUUAAACUAUGUAAACAAAUAGAUUAAAAAUAUGUAAACACUACGAUUUUCUUAAGAGUACAGCAAAUAUAAAGCAACAAACAUAUACCCACAAACACAAAGAAUCCAAAACACAAUAACAAACUUCACUGAGACCUAUGCCAACAUUUUCAAAUGUGGGUGCUAUUACUGGGGCAUUAAAAGUUUCAGCUAAAUCUUUUUCUUUUUCCCUAGAAAAUUGCAAUCAAAAUAGUUUUCAUUGCAAUUUUCUGUGGAAAAUUUUGACUUAAACAGGAAUGCCAAACAUUUUGAGCUAAAAACCUUUAUUUACUGGGUUUUUGUUUUUUCAGAAAAGUCAAAAUUCUCCAUGGAAAGCAGACAAUUUCCAUGAAAAAAUAUUUAGUCAAAACCCCAAUAUUCUGUAAAACAACAAACAAACAAAACAGUUCUGGCAGAAAAAAAAUUGACCAGUUCUAGUCCCAACACAGCCAGCCACCUGUUAUGAAGAUGCUGCCCCUUCAAGGAUGGGUUUUUGGGAAUGGUACAUGUGUUGAAGGGUCGUAUGUCUACAAGAUGAAAGCAAGACUUGCUAUAAAAGGAGUGGUCUACUCUCGGGAGACCAGGGCUACAGAAAUAUUUGGGGAGAGCUCUACAAAGUGGCCAAUAGGAGGCUUGGGAAGAGAGCCUGGGAGAGAUAGAGGAAGGUCUGGUGUUUCUUUUUUUUUUAAUUUAUUGCGAUUGCAUUUACACAGAUGUUCAAGUAAAGCAUAUUUGUUUAAAUGUCAACAAUUUAGUAGCUGAAGGAAGGGCAUGUGCACAUCCAUGAAGGGGAGAAGGGAUGGGCUGAUGGUGAGACCCUGCUUCUCGGAGGGCCAAGGGAAUUGUUUGUAGUGUGUACCUUAAUCAACCAUCUCCCCAGGUUUCCCCAUCCUGGUGGAGGAGCAGUUGUUACUUGAAACGUAGGGCUGUAUGUGAAUUCACCUGUGAGGCAGAGGGAACACUGAGGCACAGAUGACUAAGUGCUGGCACAGAGAUGCUGAUCAUGUCAAAGGCGACUAAAGUUAGAUACCUUAACCUGGUGGCCUGAUUUUCACAGGUGUUGAGCAGCCUCAGCUCCUGUUGACUUCAAAUGGCCAAUGACGUCAAGUGCUUCACACGUAUGAAUAUCAUGCCUCUGUUCAGAUGCCUACAUAUGAAUUUUAGGUGUGCUUAACUUUAGGCCUUCAAGUUUGAACAUUUUGACCGUAGCUUCUAAAAGAAUACCAAAGAUAUAUUUUUAUAAAAAUCUAUAUACAUUUAUUUAUAUGUACCAUAUAAAUGUUUCUCUAGACCUGUAUGAAAUUCUGAGGUUCGUAGGGAUUUCUUUAGUUCUGAUUCAAAUGGAUUCACACCUCCUGAGUUUCACUUGGAUCUUCAGGCUCCAGUAUACCUAAGCCAGUAUACCUAAACCACUAAGCUUCAGCUCAUUUCAUAUUAAAACAACACAAAUACACAUGGUGUAUUUUGCAUGUUUUUAAUCCAGAACUACUAAUUGGCCCCACUUUAUCAUUCGAGGUAUGUGUGUUGCGGGGAGGGUUACAAUAAGAAGUAGAGCCAGGAAGGGUAGCUGAUAAGAGGACUCACGUAUGACCAUACAUUUGGCCAGGGUUAUGUCUGGACGUACUCAGUGUUGUCAGCUCUUGUGACUUUGUCAUGAGUCUCAUGAUACCAGAUGCUUUUCUUAAAAUCCCAGCUUCUAAUGAUGGUGACAUCAGAAGACAAGUAAUACCUCCAAUUUAUUCUUUUUAAAACUCUCCUAAUUUUAAGACACUCAUGAAUUUUUGGGGCCUGCUUCAUGAUUUUUGAAUGCUUGGAGUUGGCAUUGAUGAGUACUCUCCCACCAAUGAGAAAACCUCUCUCUCCUCCUCCUCCUUCACCUCCUCCCUAGUCAGCUUGUGCUGAGGACACUUGCUAGCAGUCAGCCAUCCUACGAAAGCCCUCUACUUUUACAGAAUAAUAAGGAUUUUGAGGAAGCAUGUUCUCAUGGCUUCUGAUCCCCACUGGGGGGGCUUCAAGCAUUCUUUUUCUUGCAGUGGAGCAGCAAAUUAAUUAGCUAUAGCUGAAAUAGGCAGUUUGCAGUGUCCUUCAGGCCUGGAUACCACAGUAUUUUGCUGUCCUGGUGUGCUCUGUGGAGGUCCAAUAGAAGUGACAGGCUGCAGGUGGCUUGGUUUCCCCAUUCUGGUAGAAUAUGGCAGCUCCUUGGCUCAGAAUUAGAUCAAGAGCCAGGUUGCAAGGUCCUCUGUUUUGUUUAAAGGGGCUGAAAUAUCUCCUCUUCAGGUUCUUGCCUUACAAGGAUUAUUUCUUUUGGCCACACAAAGAAGUCAUUUCAUUUUCCACAUAAGCUUCCUUUAUGGAAUUCAUUAAUAGGGAAUGGGCACAAGUGGAUAAACCUUGUUCAACCUUUAGUGUCUUGCAGAGAAAAUGUUUUGUCUUCUCAGGGGAAACUGACAGGACUUGAUCUAUUCCCAGUCUGGUUGCCUCUCUCCUGGCACUCCCCAGUGAUUUCAGCUAGAAUUGUGGAUGCUCAACACCCCUGAAAAGUCAGACCCUAAGUGUUUCCUAAGGAGUUUUUUGUAUCAGAUGUUGUAUAGGGUCAAGGGAGGUAAUUGGGUAAUAAAAAUUGGAAAAUAAAAUUAACUCACACUACAGACAAACAGUACCUUUGGCCCUCUGCCAGGUUUCACAAUCAACCUCUGGACUUAGUUUUACCCAACUGGACUUAGUCCUUUCUGCCCCUCAGUGGAUUGGUCUGCUGAAGACAGCUCUUCUUUCCCUCAAGGGGCACACCUGUAGUCUACAUACCCCACAGUCUCUGUAACUCGUUUGGAUACCACCAACAUUCAGGCAUUUCUUCUGCUUGGAAGCACUUAGGUGACAGUGCUGUUGGUUCUCAAAGUGGUUCUAACCAUGACCUCUUCCUCAAAGAUUCCGCCAUCAUUCCUGGAAACAAUUUCUACCAUGGUCUUUAUACAAGGGCCCAGUUCAUGAGAGAAUAAGGAUAAUUAUGAACGCAUUCCACUCAAAUUCUUUCCUUUGUGAUGCUGCUUUAGAUAAUGUUAGGCUGGUGGCAACAGCCAUGGUUAACUCUACCUUGGAGUGUAGACCUAAGGAGACUGACUCUGAUCUCUCUUACACUGAUUUUAUAGCAGUGUACCUCCACUGACUUCAAUGGCAUGACCUCUGUUUUGUAAUGCUGUAAGGGAAUGUCUACAAAGUGCAGCAAUGCACACUACAGGGAUGUGAUUUCUAAAGCACAUUAACAUGUUGUGCACCAACUGGUCUGUGUAGACACUGCUGGUGCACACUAAAAAUUCUCUAGUGCGCUUUAAUCAAGUGCCAUUUCAAAGAGUACUAGGUAAGGUAAGAGUAGGUAAAGACUACUCACAUUUCCUACAGAACAAAAUUUUCAAAAUAAAUUCAUUUUGGAUCUGUCAAAACUUUCAGUUUCAAUAAUUUUGAAAUAUUUCAUUCUGAUUUCAACUUUUUAAAAAGUUGAUAUUUUAAUUUAUAACAUAAUAUACAAUAAACUGUAUUUUUUAACAAAAUGUCACUUUGAAAUGAAAAAUUGAAAUGCCCUAUCCUGAUAAGGUUGAAAUUGAAGUUGUUGGCCUUUUAAAAAAAAUUUUCAGAACAACAUUACACCAACGUUGUCAUAUUCUUGGGAAAAGUUUUGAUUUUGAUGACUUGGCAUUUCCAACAGAAAAAUAUUCUGUUGGCAAAUUUUUAUAUUUUUACUGAAGACCUAAAAAAUAAAAUAUGUUGAGUUUUUAUAUACUGAACACUCCCACUACCCAGGCCAUGGGGAAUAUUUGGCACAGAAAUAACUUCUGACAUUUUUUCUCCCUCUGUUAAAUCCACCGACACUUCAUUUCCUGAGCAUCUCAGAGAAUGCGUCACUCACUGACAUCAAAGAUACCAGAAACCUCAUUGCAACUGAUGAGAAAUGACCUGGAAAACCCCUCCAUCUCAUUCUUAAUGAAUACUGUGCCCAUGUUCAUUUGUCAGUGGAAACCAUCCUGAUGGUAUCUCUGCCAUCCAUUCUGCAUCACCUGAAGCAAUCCAUUGGAUCACCAGUCAAGACUUGGACAUCUAACACUGCUGUUUUUAAGCCAUAUGAAAGAAAGAAAGAAAGAAAGAAAGAAAGAAAGAAAGAAAGAAAGAAAGAAAGAAGAGCUAGUGAAUCUGUUGGUUCUAAAGGUCAGUGGAUGUUGAAGAUGUCUUGGUACAUUUGGAAAUGUGGCUAUCUACUAUGGUUUGGAGGACGUGAAUGGAAGCUAAUAACACUUAGCACUGAGGAGCUCCAAGCACCUUACAAAGCUGGGGGGAACAGAAGAGAUCUUACUUCCUUGAUGACAAGCCUGGCCUUUGAGCAGCUAAAGCAAAAGGAAAUAUUUGGUGGAAAGGCUGGAAGCAGCAUUUUCAGAGUGACAACAAUUUAAAGAAACUAUCUGGUCCAUCUUCCAGACUGUGUUUCUUCACUUUCUUUGCUGAAUUUUGUUUACCUCCUCUCCUGUGCAUCAGUGGAUGGAUGAUAUGCACAGCUCUGGUAGCAGUCUUUGGUUUUGUUAUGUUUUCCAUCAGCAAAGAGCAAACCACAUAAUUUUCAGUCAUUGUCAUUGAAGUUAAUGGAACUACAUGGAGUUACAUGAGACUUUCUUCUUACAUGUAAUCCUCAUCGUGAUAAUAAGAUGCUGAGCUGCACAUUGUCCUCUUGGGUUUAUGCCUACUAUUAAACAGGAGUGGUUUGAUGGGCAUUCAGCAGAACUCUCAUUAACGCAGGAGGGAGUUCACCUGUACACCCUCUCCCACUCUUCACAUUUUAUCUUGUGCUGACAGACAUGACAUUCUACGCACCAUGUUGUGCCAGAUCAAGCUCUGUUAUACAAUGUCCCCUGGGAACGAGAGGAAGUGACAAAUGUAACAGCUAAUAAAGGUUGUUUUCUGUAUGCUAGAUUCUCUUCACAGAUUUUAUUUAAGGUGAUGAGGCUCUGAUCUGCAUGGAAGAACCUGCAUUGGGCAAAACCUAGGCAUGUUGUCCUGAUAGUCAUUUGUCAAUUUCCUCUGCAAUUCUGUUCAAAAUCACCAUGAAAUAACUUUGCCCAUUGAAGACAAAGUCAAACACCACCAGUAAUU